Uranotaenia lowii is the source of this 2417-nucleotide long non-coding RNA. RefSeq lists it as uncharacterized. The record is from RefSeq and is a predicted model, not a curated record. NCBI's taxonomy places the organism in Eukaryota, Metazoa, Arthropoda, Insecta, Diptera, Culicidae. The transcript has 7 exons.
AGCUUGGACUCGUUUAAAUUUGGACAUGAGCGAUUCCCAGAAAUCCUACGGGGAAAUGUUACCGCCAGCAGCCUUAGCACUGGAUCGUUAGCCAUAUUCGGUUCAGGAACGGCAACUGAUGGAAAAAUUUGCAGAAUCAAUCCGAGUAUUUAAGGAUCCAUCGCAGCGCCAGACAUCCUUCAAGCUCGUUUCAGACCAGUUGUUGUUAAAAACGCCAUGCAUUGGACUUUGAUCAGAGCUGACGAAAAUUAUUUACCACCCCAAAACAAGAAAUUCCAAAACAAUAAUCGCUCGACCAAUUCGGAAGCAAUUACCUUCGACGGAAGUCAAUUCAUGUUCCCAUAAGCUCACUGAGACGAGCGAUCGCAAACUACCAGCCAGUAUGUAACAAGGCACAAUUAGCAAGUUAGUCGGUUAUCCACUCAGGGCAUUCCCCCAAAUAUUAUUGCGGGCCCUGCUGGAGUUGGUAAAAACAUAACGAUCCCCUGCUUGGUUCGCAUUCUGCUGGCUGAAAAUUUUCGGGAAGUCGCAAUCGAGCUGAAUGCUUCCAGCGUACGUAUGUGGUCCGGAACAAGAUUGAAAUGUUCGCUCAAUAGAAGGUUACUCCCAAGUUUGUUAUUUCGAACGAAGCCGAUAGCAUGGCCGAGGAUGCUCAGCAAGCGGGAUGUCGAUUGGAUUGCGGAUCAUUUCCUGAGCUACGGAUUAAUAAGAACUAAAAGUUGCUGCCAAGGUGCGAGGUGUUUGAAAUCCUCUUGAUUUGAUUUGUUGACACUAUAAACACUCGAUUCUAUUCUAGGUUCCUUGGCAUUUCAACAUGAUAGGUAACACCGUCAACACAGAAUCCCAAAGCACUCUUAGAUGAUAUAAUCUACUGAGGAUUGUGAUGGCCUACUGUGUUCGAACUGCGGUGAUAGAGAUGGAGGUCUUGACGAUGGGCUCGAAUAUGAUAAUGAUAUAUAUACAAAGGAUUGUGUUAGUAGAAAUACCACAGAGAAAUACUAAAUCUAUCGAAUCAUCGAUUGUUUCAUUUUGGUUGUUGCAACGAAUCACAUGAAACCUCUGCAUCUCAUAACUGUAACCAAAGUGACGCAACGGUAUCAUCUAAUAUGAACUAUGAUUUAUGGUAAAGAUGUUCCCCACAGAGUUUUCGAGAACAUCGAGAACGAAAAAAAUGGGUCACGUAAGACUCUUUCUAUCAGCUACGAUAAAGGUUCCACAACCGUAGAAUCAUUGAAUAUCAGAAAUUACGAUGAUCGUUUUGAUCAUGGGUCAUGUGUCACAGUCUGGACAGAGAUUCAAGCUUAACGGUUUGUCUGAGCAGGAUAGUUUCAAAGAAUUAGACAUCACCGUAAUUAAUGGACAGUGUACGCAGAAGCUGCUUAAUAUGAGUGAAGCACCGAAAAACCAAAAGUCAACCCAAUUGAGAGCUGAAGAGAAGAACCUCAGUAUCAUGGCUUAUUUAAAAAUAUUUUACGAUCUGAAGUGGCCGAAAACAUAUAAAGUUUUAAAAUCGUUGAAUAUCUGGAUUCUCAGGCCGCCUCUUGUUAAAAAUAAAUUCAGAAUUGAAUUGGAUCGAAAGGGAGGGAGCUUAAUCAGUUUGAGAAGUCGGUUACCAAUUCCUACAUCAAAUAAUAAACCUCUGAUGAUCGAUCUUCUUAUGACAACCUUUUCGGAUCAGCACGGCCAGGGUACCUGAACUUUCUUACUCCUAAGUUUUUCCCAGCCAAGCAACUGUUGCUGAUAACGUCGAUUCUAAUAUUCCGGAAUUUCGUGCCAUCACCACCGUUCGGCUUAAAAUUGUUUAAAACGCAUCACCGGCUCCAUAACAGCUCAACAGUGCAAAGAAAAGAUGGAAGAAGCCAUAUUUUGCUCCCUACUUUUGUCGGUGGAUGAAUCCCUCGAGCAAACGUACGAUCGCCCGAUGGAAGUUUGUUUUUUUGGCAUCAGCAAUGAUAUAGCGAUUCCCAUCCGCAGAAUGAUUCCAGUAUUAUGACUUCUUAUAGCCAUAUGGCUUUUAACAAACCGCGUUAAAGUUUGGAAUUAUAUUGGGGCUCGAGGAAAAUGCAUUUCGAAAAAUGCAAUGAUAAUUGCUUGUUGUAGUAAUUACUUUUUAUUUGAUUACGAUUAUUUUGAUAAAAUUGUGGAACAAAAAAUAAACAUUGAAAAAAUAAAAAUUUAAUUUUUUUUUAAACUGAAUGAUUGGCAACCCUGAAAACGGCUCAAAAAUCCUUGCGGAUUCGGUCCGAAAUCGGUCUUUUUUUUGGGAUGGACGCUAUAGCAAUCGACCCAGAAACGGUUCGAAAAAUCGUUCGGAUUCGGUCCGAAAUCGGUCCUUUUUUCGGAUGAAUGCUAUGGCAAUCGACCCAGAAACGGUUCGAAAACCCGUUUGGUUUCGGUCCGAAAUCGGUUCUUUAUAU